RNAcentral lists this ribosomal RNA (464 nucleotides) under uncultured bacterium. RNAcentral describes it as "partial 16S ribosomal RNA". It matches the Rfam family "Bacterial small subunit ribosomal RNA", at positions 339 to 795 of the family's 1533-position model. The record is from RNAcentral.
CUACGGGGUGCUCCAGUGGGGAAUAUUGCACAAUGGGCGCAAGCCUGAUGCAGCCAUGCCGCGUGUAUGAAGAAGGCCUUCGGGUUGUAAAGUACUUUCAGCGGGGAGGAAGGGAGUAAAGUUAAUACCUUUGCUCAUUGACGUUACCCGCAGAAGAAGCACCGGCUAACUCCGUGCCAGCAGCCGCGGUAAUACGGAGGGUGCAAGCGUUAAUUGGAAUUACUGGGCGUAAAGCGCACGCAGGCGGUUUGUUAAGUCAGCUGUGAAAUCCCCGGGCUCCACCUGGGAACUGCAUCUGAUACUGGCAAGCUUGAGUCUCGUAGAGGGGGGUAGAAUUCCAGGUGUAGCGGUGAAAUGCGUAGAGAUCUGGAGGAAUACCGGUGGCGAAGGCGGCCCCCUGGACGAAGACUGACGCUCAGGUGCGAAAGCGUGGGGAGCAAACAGGAUUAGAUACCCCCGUAGUC